AUUGAACGCUGGCGGCAGGCCUAACACAUGCAAGUCGAACGAGUGGCGGACGGGUGAGUAAUGUCUGGGAAACUGCCUGCUGGAGGGGGAUAACUACUGGAAACGGUAGCUAAUACCGCAUACCAUCGGAUGUUCCCAGAUGGGAUUAGCUUGUUGGUGGGGUAACGGCUCACCAAGGCGACGAUCCCUAGCUGGUCUGAGAGGAUGACCAGCCACACUGGAACUGAGACACGGUGCAGACGCCUACGGGAGGAAGCAGUGGGGCAUAUGGCACAAUGGGCGAAAGCCUGAUGCAGCCAUGCCGCGUGGAUGAAGAAGGCCUGAGGGGUGUAAAGUACUUUCAGUGGGGAGGCGUUACCCGCAGAAGAAGCACCGGCUAACUCCGUGCCAGCAGCCGCGGUAAUAC
RNAcentral lists this ribosomal RNA (406 nucleotides) under uncultured bacterium. Its description in RNAcentral is "partial 16S ribosomal RNA". It matches the Rfam family "Bacterial small subunit ribosomal RNA", at positions 29 to 526 of the family's 1533-position model. The record is from RNAcentral.